Molecule: ribosomal RNA, 431 nt
Filed under: uncultured bacterium
Lineage: Bacteria
Description: partial 16S ribosomal RNA
Rfam family: Bacterial small subunit ribosomal RNA
Source: RNAcentral
AACGAACGCUGGCGGCAGGCCUAACACAUGCAAGUCGAGCGCCCCGCAAGGGGAGCGGCGGACGGGUGAGUAACGCGUGGGAAUAUGCCCUUUGCUACGGAAUAGUCUCGGGAAACUGGGGGUAAUACCGUAUACGCCCUUUGGGGGAAAGAUUUAUCGGCGAAGGAUUAGCCCGCGUUGGAUUAGGUAGUUGGUGGGGUAAUGGCCUACCAAGCCGACGAUCCAUAGCUGGUUUGAGAGGAUGAUCAGCCACACUGGGACUGAGACACGGCCCAGACUCCUACGGGAAGCAGCAGUGGGGAAUCUUAGACAAUGGGGGCAACCCUGAUCUAGCCAUGCCGCGUGAGUGAUGAAGGCCUUAGGGUUGUAAAGCUCUUUCAGCUGGGAAGAUAAUGACGGUACCAGCAGAAGAAGCCCCGGCUAACUCCGUG